UACCCGAUAGGUUAUGCUAAGGCAUCUUGGCAUAAUGAAAGCUGAGGCGGUAAAGGAUGGCCAUGCGUCCGAUUAGUUAGUUGGUGAGGUAAUGGCUCACCAAGACGAUGAUCGGUAGGGGAUGUGAGAGCAUGAUCCCCCUCACGGGUACUGAGACACGGACCCGACUCCUACGGGAGGCAGCAGUAAGGAAUAUUGGACAAUGCCCGGAAGGGUGAUCCAGCCAUGCCGCGUGCAGGAAGAAGGCCCUAUGGGUUGUAAACUGCUUUUGCAGUGGAGAAAACCCUCUGACGCGAUUGGAGGUUGCUAGUACACUGUGAAUAAGCAUCGGCUAACUUCGUGCCAGCAGCCGCGGUAAGACGAAGGAUGCGAGCGUUAUCCGGAUUUACUGGGUUUAAAGGGUGCGUAGGCGGAUAUAUAAGUCGGUGGUAAAAGGUCGUGGCUUAACCACGGUAUAGCCAUUGAUACUGUAUAUCUUGAGUACACUGGGCGUAUGUGGAAUAUGGCAUGUAGCGGUGAAAUGCAUAGAUAUGCCAUAGAACACCGAUCGUGAAUACAGCGUACGAUGGUGAUACUGACGCUGAGGCACGAAAGCGUGGGGAUCAAACAGGAUUAGAUACCCUGGUAGUCCACGCUGUAAACGAUGAUCACUUGCUGUUGGGCUGUAAUAAGGAUCAGUGGCAAAGCGAAAGCGAUAAGUGAUCCACCUGGGGAGUACGCCGGCAACGGUGAAACUCAAAGGAAUUGACGGGGGCCCGCACAAGCGGUGGAGCAUGUGGUUUAAUUCGACGCAACGCGAAGAACCUUACCAGCUCUUGACAUGGGUAGUAUGGGCCUGGGCGACUGGGCUCUUCAGUUCGGCUGGCUACCACACAGGUGCUGCGUGGCUGUCGUCAGCUCGUGUCGUGAGAUGUUGGGUUAAGUCCCGCAACGAGCGCAACCCUCAUCUUCAGUUGCCAUCAGGUUAAGCUGGGCACUCUGAGGAAACUGCCGGUGACAAGCCGGAGGAAGGCGGGGAUGACGUCAAGUCCUCAUGGCCUUUAUGGGCUGGGCUACACACGUGCUACAAUGGCGGUGACAGUGGGUUCUGCGCGAAGGGGCGACCCGGAGCCAAUCCCCAAAAGCCGUCUCAGUUCGGAUUGCACUCUGCAACUCGGGUGCAUGAAGCUGGAAUCGCUAGUAAUCGCGGAUCAGCACGCCGCGGUGAAUACGUUCCCGGGCCUUGUACACACCGCCCAUCACACCAUGGGAGUUGGUUCUACCUGAAGGCGGUGCGCCAACCGUAA
RNAcentral lists this ribosomal RNA (1286 nucleotides) under uncultured bacterium. Its description in RNAcentral is "partial 16S ribosomal RNA". It matches the Rfam family "Bacterial small subunit ribosomal RNA", at positions 167 to 1444 of the family's 1533-position model. The record is from RNAcentral.